UCCCAGUGGCUUAGUUGGUAAAGAAUCUGCCUGCAGUGCAGGAGACCUGGGUUCAAUCCCUAGGUUGGGAA
RNAcentral lists this transfer RNA (71 nucleotides) under Ovis aries (sheep). It matches the Rfam family "tRNA". Rfam says of the family: Transfer RNA (tRNA) molecules are approximately 80 nucleotides in length. Their secondary structure includes four short double-helical elements and three loops (D, anti-codon, and T loops). The record is from Rfam by way of RNAcentral. Lineage: Eukaryota; Metazoa; Chordata; Mammalia; Artiodactyla; Bovidae.